This 1444-nucleotide ribosomal RNA is filed under the name bacterium enrichment culture clone LA115. Its description in RNAcentral is "bacterial SSU rRNA". It matches the Rfam family "Bacterial small subunit ribosomal RNA". The record is from RNAcentral.
AGAGUUUGAUCCUGGCUCAGGAUGAACGCUGGCGGCGUGCCUAAUACAUGCAAGUCGAACGCUUCGAUUUAUCGAAGAGUGGCGAACGGGUGAGUAAUACAUAAGUAACCUGCCCUUAACAGGGGGAUAACUACUAGAAAUGGUAGCUAAGACCGCAUAGGUGGAUUGAUCGCAUGAUCGAUUCAUUAAAAGACCUUUCAAGGUCUGGAUAAGGAUGGACUUAUGUCGCAUUAGCUAGUUGGUAAGGUAACGGCUUACCAAGGCGACGAUGCGUAGCCGGCCUGAGAGGGUGAACGGCCACAUUGGGACUGAGACACGGCCCAAACUCCUACGGGAGGCAGCAGUAGGGAAUUUUCGGCAAUGGGGGAAACCCUGACUGAGCAACGCCGCGUGAAGGAAGAAGGAAUUCGUUUCGUAAACUUCUGUUAUAAAGGAAGAAAGAUGAUAUCAGGAAAUGGAUGUCAAGUGACGGUACUUUAUGAGAAAGCCACGGCCAACUACGUGCCAGCAGCCGCGGUAAUACGUAGGUGGCAAGCGUUAUCCGGAAUUAUUGGGCGUAAAGAGGGAGCAGGCGGUAACGAAGGUCUGUGGUGAAAGCCUGAAGCUUAACUUCAGUAAGCCAUAGAAACCAGGUAACUAGAGUGCAAGAGAGGAUCGUGGAAUUCCAUGUGUAGCGGUGAAAUGCGUAGAUAUAUGGAGGAACACCAGUGGCGAAGGCGACGAUCUGGCUUGUAACUGACGCUGAGUCCCGAAAGCGUGGGGAGCAAAUAGGAUUAGAUACCCUAGUAGUCCACGCCGUAAACGAUGAGUACUAAGUGUUGGGGGUCGAACCUCAGUGCUGCAGUUAACGCAAUAAGUACUCCGCCUGAGUAGUACGUUCGCAAGAAUGAAACUCAAAGGAAUUGACGGGGGCCCGCACAAGCGGUGGAGCAUGUGGUUUAAUUCGAAGCAACGCGAAGAACCUUACCAGGUCUUGACAUAUAUCUAAAGGCUCCAGAGAUGGAGAGAUAGUUAUAGAUAUACAGGUGGUGCAUGGUUGUCGUCAGCUCGUGUCGUGAGAUGUUGGGUUAAGUCCCGCAACGAGCGCAACCCUUGUCGUUAGUUACCAUCAUUAAGUUGGGGACUCUAACGAGACUGCCAGUGAUAAGCUGGAGGAAGGCGGGGAUGACGUCAAAUCAUCAUGCCCCUUAUGACCUGGGCUACACACGUGCUACAAUGGAUAGUGCAAAGGGAAGCGAGACCGCGAGGUGGAGCAAAACCCAUAAAACUAUUCUCAGUUCGGAUUGUAGUCUGCAACUCGACUACAUGAAGUUGGAAUCGCUAGUAAUCGUGAAUCAGCAUGUCACGGUGAAUACGUUCUCGGGCCUUGUACACACCGCCCGUCACACCAUGAGAGUUGAUAACACCCGAAGCCGGUGGCCUAACCGCAAGGAAGGAGCUGUCU